UACGGAGGAUCCAAGCGUUAUCCGGAAUCAUUGGGUUUAAAGGGUCCGUAGGCGGGUUAAUAAGUCAGUGGUGAAAGUCUGCAGCUCAACUGUAGAAUUGCCAUUGAUACUGGUGGCCUUGAGUUAUGGUGAAGUAACUAGAAUAUGUAGUGUAGCGGUGAAAUGCAUAGAUAUUACAUAGAAUACCGAUUGCGAAGGCAGAUCACUAAUAAUUCACUGACGCUGAGGGACGAAAGCGUAGGUAGCGAACAGG
Molecule: unclassified non-coding RNA, 253 nt
Filed under: uncultured Flavobacteriaceae bacterium
Lineage: Bacteria; Pseudomonadati; Bacteroidota; Flavobacteriia; Flavobacteriales; Flavobacteriaceae
Description: contains 16S-23S intergenic spacer region
Rfam family: Bacterial small subunit ribosomal RNA
Source: RNAcentral